This is a long non-coding RNA of Bombus impatiens (common eastern bumble bee), 266 nucleotides long. RefSeq lists it as uncharacterized. The record is from RefSeq and is a predicted model, not a curated record. Lineage: Eukaryota; Metazoa; Arthropoda; Insecta; Hymenoptera; Apidae. The transcript has 2 exons.
GAUUUUCUAUCAGUAGAUUCUAAGAGUAUAUCUGACCCAAAAAUGUCUCUCACUAUUUCAUCAAUUUCCAUGUUUGAAAAUAUUUAUUGUGUAUCGGCAUUGAAACCAUUAAACUGGAAUAAGUUCAAGGAAAACCGAGAGGGACACAUAAUAUCAAAAACGAAACAAUUGAAUCUGAUAAAAGUAUGAGGACGUGAAUGUUAAUACUCGAUACUGAUUUGUUGAGAAAUUUUUUCAGGCUUUUCGUUAAUAAACAUGCAUACGCA